UACGGAGGGUGCGAGCGUUGUCCGGAAUUGUUGGGCGUAAAGCGCGCGCAGGCGGGCCUUUAAGUCUGAUGUGAAAGCCCACGGCUCAACCGUGGAGGGUCAUUGGAAACUGGGGGACUUGAGUACAGAAGAGAAGAGUGGAAUUCCACGUGUAGCGGUGAAAUGCGUAGAGAUGUGGAGGAACACCAGUGGCGAAGGCGACUCUGUGGUCUGUAACUGACGCUGAGGCGCGAAAGCGUGGGGAGCAAACAGG
RNAcentral lists this ribosomal RNA (253 nucleotides) under uncultured bacterium. RNAcentral describes it as "partial 16S ribosomal RNA". It matches the Rfam family "Bacterial small subunit ribosomal RNA", at positions 524 to 776 of the family's 1533-position model. The record is from RNAcentral.